This 301-nucleotide ribosomal RNA is filed under the name uncultured bacterium. RNAcentral describes it as "partial 16S ribosomal RNA". It matches the Rfam family "Bacterial small subunit ribosomal RNA", at positions 509 to 809 of the family's 1533-position model. The record is from RNAcentral.
CAGUAGCCGCGGUAAUACAGAGGGUGCGAGCGUUAAUCGGAUUUACUGGGCGUAAAGCGUGCGUAGGCGGCUUCUUAAGUCGGAUGUGAAAUCCCUGAGCUUAACUUAGGAAUUGCAUUCGAUACUGGGAAGCUAGAGUAUGGGAGAGGAUGGUAGAAUUCCAGGUGUAGCGGUGAAAUGCGUAGAGAUCUGGAGGAAUACCGAUGGCGAAGGCAGCCAUCUGGCCUAAUACUGACGCUGAGGUACGAAAGCAUGGGGAGCAAACAGGAUUAGAGACCCCAGUAGUCCCUGUCUCUUAUAA